Molecule: ribosomal RNA, 509 nt
Filed under: uncultured bacterium
Lineage: Bacteria
Description: bacterial SSU rRNA
Rfam family: Bacterial small subunit ribosomal RNA
Source: RNAcentral
AAUCAACGCUGGCGGCGUGCCUAACACAUGCAAGUCGAACGCGAGAGGGGCUUCGGCCCCAAUUGAGUGGCAAACGGGUGAGUAACGCGUGGGUGACCUACCUUCGAGUGGGGGAUAACGUUUCGAAAGGAACGCUAAUACCGCAUGACAUCCUGCCUUUGGACAGGCGGCGAUCAAAGCCGGGGACCGCAAGGCCUGGCGCUUGGAGAGGGGCCCGCGUCCGAUUAGCUAGUUGGUGAGGUAACGGCUCACCAAGGCGACGAUCGGUAGCCGGCCUGAGAGGGCGGACGGCCACACUGGGACUGAGACACGGCCAGACUCCUACGGGAGGCAGCAGUGGGGAAUUGUUCGCAAUGGGCGCAAGCCUGACGACGCAACGCCGCGUGGAGGAUGAAGGUCUUCGGAUUGUAAACUCCUGUUGAUUGGGACGAACAUCCAUCGGGAUAACACCCCGGAGGACUGACGGUACCGAUUGAGGAAGCCCGGCUAACUCUGUGCCAGCAGCCGCA